ACAAUGGACGAAAGUCUGAUGGAGCAACGCCGCGUGAACGAUGAAGGCCUUCGGGUCGUAAAGUUCUGUUGUAAGGGAAGAACAAGUGCCGCAGGCAAUGGCGGCACCUUGACGGUACCUUGCGAGAAAGCCACGGCUAACUACGUGCCAGCAGCCGCGGUAAUACGUAGGUGGCAAGCGUUGUCCGGAAUUAUUGGGCGUAAAGCGCGCGCAGGCGGCCUCUUAAGUCUGAUGUGAAAGCCCCCGGCUCAACCGGGGAGGGCCAUUGGAAACUGGGAGGCUUGAGUAUAGGAGAGAAGAGUGGAAUUCCACGUGUAGCGGUGAAAUGCGUAGAGAUGUGGAGGAACACCAGUGGCGAAGGCGACUCUUUGGCCUAUAACUGACGCUGAGGCGCGAAAGCGUGGGGAGCAAACAGGAUUAGAUACCCUGGUAGUCCACGCCGUAAACGAUGAGUGCUAGGUGUUGGAGGGUUUCCGCCCUUCAGUGCUGAAGCUAACGCAUUAAGCACUCCGCCUGGG
This 518-nucleotide ribosomal RNA is filed under the name uncultured bacterium. RNAcentral's name for it is "bacterial SSU rRNA". It matches the Rfam family "Bacterial small subunit ribosomal RNA", at positions 368 to 877 of the family's 1533-position model. The record is from RNAcentral.